ACUAAAUAGAUACCCUGGUAGUCCACGCCCUAAACGAUGUCUACUAGUUGUUGGUGGAGUAAAAUCCAUGAGUAAACGCAGCUAAACGCGUGAAGUAGACCGCCUGGGGAGUACGGUCGCAAGAUUAAAAACUCAAAGGAAUUGACGGGGGCCCGGCACAAGCGGUGGAUUAUGUGGAUUAAAUUCGAUGCAACGCGAAAAACCUUACCUGGCCUUGACAUGCCACUAACGAAGCAGGGAUGCAUUAGGUGCCCGUAAGGGAAAGUGGACACAGGUGCUGCAUGGCUGUCGUCAGCUCGUGUCGUGAGAUGUUGGGUUAAGUCCCGCAACGAGCGCAACCCUUGCCAUUAAUUGCCAUCAUUUAGUUGGGCACUUUAAUGGGACUGCCGGUGACAAACCGGAGGAAGGUGGGGAUGACGUCAAGUCCUCAUGGCCCUUAUGGCCAGGGCUUCACACGUAAUACAAUGGUCGGUACAGAGAGUUGCCAACCCGCGAGGGGGUAGCUAAUCUCAGAAAGCCGAUCGUAGUCCGGAUUGUUCU
This 540-nucleotide ribosomal RNA is filed under the name uncultured bacterium. RNAcentral describes it as "bacterial SSU rRNA". It matches the Rfam family "Bacterial small subunit ribosomal RNA", at positions 772 to 1304 of the family's 1533-position model. The record is from RNAcentral.